CAACCUGCCGAUAACUCGGGGAUAGCCUUUCGAAAGAAAGAUUAAUAUCCGAUAGUAUAUUAAAACCGCAUGGUUUUACUAUUAAAGAAUUUCGGUUAUCGAUGGGGAUGCGUUCCAUUAGUUUGUUGGCGGGGUAACGGCCCACCAAGACUACGAUGGAUAGGGGUUCUGAGAGGAAGGUCCCCCACAUUGGAACUGAGACACGGUCCAAACUCCUACGGGAGGCAGCAGUGAGGAAUAUUGGUCAAUGGACGAGAGUCUGAACCAGCCAAGUAGCGUGAAGGAUGACUGCCCUAUGGGUUGUAAACUUCUUUUAUAAAGGAAUAAAGUCGGGUAUGCAUACCCGUUUGCAUGUACUUUAUGAAUAAGGAUCGGCUAACUCCGUGCCAGCAGCCGCGGUAAUACGGAGGAUCCGAGCGUUAUCCGGAUUUAUUGGGUUUAAAGGGAGCGUAGAUGGAUGUUUAAGUCAGUUGUGAAAGUUUGCGGCUCAACCGUAAAAUUGCAGUUGACACUGGAUAUCUUGAGUGCAGUUGAGGCAGGCGGAAUUCGUGGUGUAGCGGUGAAAUGCUUAGAUAUCACGAAGAACUCCGAUUG
RNAcentral lists this ribosomal RNA (594 nucleotides) under uncultured Bacteroidota bacterium. RNAcentral describes it as "bacterial SSU rRNA". It matches the Rfam family "Bacterial small subunit ribosomal RNA", at positions 122 to 715 of the family's 1533-position model. The record is from RNAcentral. Lineage: Bacteria; Pseudomonadati; Bacteroidota.